RNAcentral lists this ribosomal RNA (253 nucleotides) under uncultured bacterium. RNAcentral describes it as "partial 16S ribosomal RNA". It matches the Rfam family "Bacterial small subunit ribosomal RNA", at positions 524 to 776 of the family's 1533-position model. The record is from RNAcentral.
UACAGAGACUGCAAGCGUUAUUCGGAUUCACUGGGCGUAAAGGGUGCGCAGGCGGUUGGGUGUGUCAGAUGUGAAAUCCCGAGGCUCAACCUCGGAACUGCGUCUGAAACUACUCGACUAGAGUACUGGAGAGGGUAACGGAAUUCACGGUGUAGCAGUGAAAUGCGUAGAUAUCAGGAGGAACACCGAUGGCGAAGGCAGGUCUCUGGGCUGACACUGACGCUCAUGCACGAAAGCGUGGGGAGCAAACAGG